This 253-nucleotide ribosomal RNA is filed under the name uncultured bacterium. RNAcentral describes it as "partial 16S ribosomal RNA". It matches the Rfam family "Bacterial small subunit ribosomal RNA", at positions 524 to 776 of the family's 1533-position model. The record is from RNAcentral.
UACGUAAGGUGCAAGCGUUAAUCGGAAUUACUGGGCGUAAAGCGUGCGCAGGCGGCUUUGCAAGACAGAUGUGAAAUCCCCGGGCUCAACCUGGGAACUGCAUUUGUGACUGCAUGGCUAGAGUGCGGCAGAGGGGGAUGGAAUUCCGCGUGUAGCAGUGAAAUGCGUAGAUAUGCGGAGGAACACCGAUGGCGAAGGCAAUCCCCUGGGCCUGCACUGACGCUCAUGCACGAAAGCGUGGGGAGCAAACAGG